CCUACGGGUGGCAGCAGUGGGGAAUAUUGGACAAUGGGCGAAAGCCUGAUCCAGCCAUGCCGCGUGUGUGAAGAAGGCCUUCGGGUUGUAAAGCACUUUCAGUGGGGAAGAAAGCCUUGGGGCUAAUACCCUCGAGGAAGGACAUCACCCACAGAAGAAGCACCGGCUAACUCCGUGCCAGCAGCCGCGGUAAUACGGAGGGUGCGAGCGUUAAUCGGAAUUACUGGGCGUAAAGCGCGCGUAGGCGGUCUGAUAAGCCGGUUGUGAAAGCCCCGGGCUCAACCUGGGAACGGCAUCCGGAACUGUCAGGCUAGAGUGCAGGAGAGGAAGGUAGAAUUCCCGGUGUAGCGGUGAAAUGCGUAGAGAUCGGGAGGAAUACCAGUGGCGAAGGCGGCCUUCUGGACUGACACUGACGCUGAGGUGCGAAAGCGUGGGUAGCAAACAGGAUUAGGUACCCCGGUAGUC
This 465-nucleotide ribosomal RNA is filed under the name Vreelandella stevensii. RNAcentral describes it as "partial 16S ribosomal RNA". It matches the Rfam family "Bacterial small subunit ribosomal RNA", at positions 338 to 795 of the family's 1533-position model. Lineage: Bacteria; Pseudomonadati; Pseudomonadota; Gammaproteobacteria; Oceanospirillales; Halomonadaceae. The record is from RNAcentral.